This 1629-nucleotide long non-coding RNA is filed under the name Gadus morhua (Atlantic cod). Its description in RNAcentral is "lncRNA (ENSGMOG00000034897.1)". The record is from RNAcentral. Lineage: Eukaryota; Metazoa; Chordata; Actinopteri; Gadiformes; Gadidae.
AUGUCGUGUGCAAAGUUUGGUGUUGAUUGGUCGAGAAAUGUGGGAGGAGUAGCGAAAAAACAGUUUUGCGGUUUUCGCGAUUUUGCGAAAAAAAAUAAAAAAAUUGCAGACGCAAAUGGGCGUGGCCUAUGCCAAAAGAUGCAGCAGACUCCAGUGAAUAUGUGGGUACAAGGUUUUGAAUGUGGGAGGUUCGGUGUGGGAGUUAUAGCCCCAAACGCGUCUUUCCUUGGUAUAGCGCCACCUAGUGGCCGGCGUGUCUGGAUUUUGUUAUCUGAGUAGCGGUGCCGGACCUGGAUCUAGUCAUGCAAUUGGCAUGUCGGCACCAUUUACGGUUUGGGCUGUGGUUCCACUUUCACGGGGAGGUAGUAUAAUAAUAAAAAUCCUUACAAAAACAAUAGGGAUCCAACCUGUUGGCUUGGACCCCUAAUAAUAAAAAUCCUUACAAAAACAAUAGGGAUCCAACCUGUUGGCUUGGACCCCUAACUAGAACUGCAAGCAGUUAUGCAGGGGUCCAAGAAGUGUGCAUUUCGCCGGCACAACGCGAAGCAUGUGUUCGAAAUUGAGAAACGGCGUAUGCCAAAAGAUGCAGCUGACUCCAGUGAAUCUGUGGAUAUAAAGGUUUUGACUGUGGGAGGUUCGGUGUGGGAGUUAUAGCCCAAAACGCGUUUUCAGAACAUUCCAUUGGCCAAUUAGGAGAUGUAUUAUUUCGUCGUUUUUUUGCGCCCUCUUGUGGCGAAAUUUUCCAAAGACAAUUUUCCUUUUCCAAAUAACUCCCGCCCCCAUAAUUCUUGACCAUAAUUUUUAUAUAGACUCGGGUUUGCCCCUUGAUAGUUCCCUCAUAGUUUGAAGAACAUUCCUUUGGCCAAUUAGAAGAUAGACAAUUUCCUCGUUUAUUGCGCCCCCUAAUGGCGACAUUUUCCAAAAUUUUUAUCUAACGUCAUUAUGGUUAGCACCAACAUGUGUGUAAAAUUUGGACUCGAGCCGAUGCCUAAUUUUGGAUUUUUUUGGAUUUUUGAUUUUUCCACGUCUAAUUUAGCUAAUAAACCAAUAUUCAAAACGCAACCGUUUCGUCGUCGAAGGUCGGAUCAAAAAACUGUCUCACGAUUCCUUUGCGUGUGCGUCUGAAGAUGUCGUGUGCAAAGUUUUGUGUCAAUUGGUCAAGAAAUGUGGGAGGAGUAGGGAAAAAACAGUUUUGCGGUUUUUGCGAUUUUGCGAAAAAAAAUUCUAGACGCAAAUGGGCGUGGCCUAUGCCAAAAGAUGCAUCAGACUCCAGUGAAUCUGUGUGUACAAAGUUUUGAAUGUGGGAGGUUCGGUGUGGGAGUUAUAGCCCCAAACGCGUAUUCCUUGGUAUAGCGCCACCUAGUGGCCGGCAUGUCUGGAUUUUGUUAUCUGAGUAGCGGUGCCGGACCUGAAUCUAGUCAUGCUAUUGGCAUGUCCGCACCAUUUACGGUUUGGGCUGUGGGCCCACUUUUACGGGGGGAAUAAUAAAAACUAGAACUGCAAGCAGUUAUGCAGGGGUCCAAGAAGUGUGCAUUUCGCCGGCACAACGCGACAAGAAAUGUGCGUUUCGCCGGCACAACGCGAAGCAAGUAUUGAAAACGCUACCGUGAACAACAUGUGGAUAUAAAG